AUUGAACGCUGGCGGCGUGCUUAACACAUGCAAGUCGUGCGAGAAAGGGGACUUCGGUCCCUGAGUAGAGCGGCGCACGGGUGAGUAACGCGUGGAUUAUCUACCCAGACGUUCGGGAUAACGGCGGGAAACUGCCGCUAAUACCGGAUACGCUCCAAUUUCGGUUGGGGGAAAGGCGGCCUCUGCUUGCAAGCUGUCGCAUCUGGAUGAGUCCGCGUCCCAUUAGCUUGUUGGUGGGGUAAUGGCCUACCAAGGCUACGAUGGGUAGCUGGUCUGAGAGGAUGAUCAGCCACACUGGAACUGAAACACGGUCCAGACUCCUACGGGAGGCAGCAGUGGGGAAUAUUGCGCAAUGGGGGAAACCCUGACGCAGCGACGCCGUGUGAGGGAAGAAGGCUUUCGGGUCGUAAACCUCUGUCAGAAAGGAAGAACCUCCCAAGUCCGAAUAGGGCUUGGGACUGACGGUACUUUCAAAGGAAGCACCGGCUAACUCCGUG
This 497-nucleotide ribosomal RNA is filed under the name uncultured bacterium. Its description in RNAcentral is "bacterial SSU rRNA". It matches the Rfam family "Bacterial small subunit ribosomal RNA", at positions 30 to 507 of the family's 1533-position model. The record is from RNAcentral.